CGCGGCCUAUCAGCUUGUUGGUGAGGUAACGGCUCACCAAGGCGAUGACGGGUAGCUGGCGUGAGAGCGCGACCAGCCACACUGGGACUGAGACACGGCCCAGACUCCUACGGGAGGCAGCAGUGGGGAAUAUUGCGCAAUGGGCGAAAGCCUGACGCAGCGACGCCGCGUGGGGGAGGAAGGCCUCAGGGUUGUAAACCCCUGUCAGGUGGGACGAACCCCGAGUCGGAUAAUACCCGGCUCGACUGACGGUACCACCAGAGGAAGCUCCGGCUAACUCCGUGCCAGCAGCCGCGGUAAUACGGAGGGAGCAAGCGUUGUUCGGAAUCACUGGGCGUAAAGGGCGCGUAGGCGGUCACGUAAGUCGGGUGUGAAAGCCUGAGGCUCAACCUCAGGAGGCCGGUCGAAACUGCUGUGGCUAGGGUCCGGUAGAGGAGAGUGGAAUUCCCGGUGUAGCGGUGAAAUGCGCAGAUAUCGGGAGGAACACCAGUAGCGAAGGCGGCUCUCUGGGCCGGUACCGACGCUGAGGAGCGAAAGCUAGGGGAGCAAACAGGAUUAGAUACCCUGGUAGUCCUAGCCGUAAACGUUGGGCACUAGGUGUGGCGGAUUCAUUGACAUCUGCCGUGCCGAAGCUAACGCAUUAAGUGCCCCGCCUGGGGAGUACGG
RNAcentral lists this ribosomal RNA (666 nucleotides) under uncultured bacterium. RNAcentral describes it as "bacterial SSU rRNA". It matches the Rfam family "Bacterial small subunit ribosomal RNA", at positions 232 to 885 of the family's 1533-position model. The record is from RNAcentral.